This is a non-coding RNA of Acanthosepion pharaonis, 106 nucleotides long. NCBI's taxonomy places the organism in Eukaryota, Metazoa, Mollusca, Cephalopoda, Sepiida, Sepiidae. The record is from the annotation of a GenBank genome assembly.
UUACGGUCAAAUCACGCUGAAAACACCGGUUCUCGUUCGAUCACCGAAGCGUAGAGCCAGGUCAGUACUUAGAUGGGGACCGCUUGGGAACACCUGGUACUGUAAG